Molecule: microRNA precursor, 126 nt
Filed under: Myotis brandtii (Brandt's bat)
Lineage: Eukaryota; Metazoa; Chordata; Mammalia; Chiroptera; Vespertilionidae
Description: mir-9193 microRNA precursor family
Source: Rfam by way of RNAcentral
AGUGCACCAGUGGGGUCCCUCAGCCUGGUCUGCACCUUCUCGCAAUCUGAGACCCCUCAGGGGAUGUUAGAGGGCCAUUUUCAGUCUGAUCCCGCAGGCCAGGCUGAGGGACCCCACUGGUGCACG